Molecule: ribosomal RNA, 493 nt
Filed under: uncultured bacterium
Lineage: Bacteria
Description: bacterial SSU rRNA
Rfam family: Bacterial small subunit ribosomal RNA
Source: RNAcentral
AUUGAACGCUGGCGGCGUGCUUAACACAUGCAAGUCGAUCGGUAACAGGUGUAGCAAUACAUGCUGACGAGAGGCGGACGGGUGAGUAAUGCUUGGGAAUCUGCCUAUUAGUGGGGGACAACCCGGGGAAACUCGGGCUAAUACCGCAUACGCUCUACGGAGGAAAGCCGGGGACCGCAAGGCCUGGCGCUAAUAGAUGAGCCCAAGUCGGAUUAGCUAGUUGGUAGGGUAACGGCCUACCAAGGCGACAAUCCGUAGCUGGUCUGAGAGGACGACCAGCCACACCGGAACUGAGACACGGUCCGGACUCCUACGGGAGGCAGCAGUGGGGAAUAUUGGACAAUGGGGGCAACCCUGAUCCAGCGACGCCGCGUGGGUGAAGAAGGCCUGCGGGUUGUAAAGCCCUUUCGGUGGGGAAGAAAAGUCUCGACCUAAUACGUCGGGACCUUGACGUAACCCACUAAAGAAGCACCGGCUAACUCUGUGCCAGCUG